GCUCCUAGUACGAGAGGACCGGAGUGGACGAACCUCUGGUGUUCGGGUUGUGUCGCCAGACGCAUUGCCCGGUAGCUAAGUUCGGGAUCGAUAACCGCUGAAAGCAUCUAAGCGGGAAGCGAGCCUUGAGAUGAGUUCUCCCUGAUACUUUAAGUAUCCUAAAGGGUUGUCGUAGACUACGACGUUGAUAGGCAGGGUGUGUAAGCGUUGUGAGGCGUUGAGCUAACCUGUACUAAUUGCCCGUGAGGCUUAACCAU
RNAcentral lists this ribosomal RNA (257 nucleotides) under Vibrio alginolyticus. RNAcentral describes it as "partial 23S ribosomal RNA". It matches the Rfam family "Bacterial large subunit ribosomal RNA", at positions 2674 to 2925 of the family's 2925-position model. The record is from RNAcentral. Lineage: Bacteria; Pseudomonadati; Pseudomonadota; Gammaproteobacteria; Vibrionales; Vibrionaceae.